This 146-nucleotide unclassified non-coding RNA is filed under the name soil metagenome. RNAcentral describes it as "partial internal transcribed spacer 1". The record is from RNAcentral.
CCGAGUUUACAACUCCCAAACCCCUGUGAACAUACCUAUAUGUUGCCUCGGCGGAUCAGCCCGCGCCCCGUAAAACGGGACGGCCCGCCGCAGGAUCCACAAACUCUGUUUUUAUUGUAACUUCUGAGUAACAAAACAAUAAAUCA